This 74-nucleotide transfer RNA is filed under the name Planctomycetota bacterium. Its description in RNAcentral is "Planctomycetes bacterium tRNA-His". It matches the Rfam family "tRNA". Rfam says of the family: Transfer RNA (tRNA) molecules are approximately 80 nucleotides in length. Their secondary structure includes four short double-helical elements and three loops (D, anti-codon, and T loops). The record is from RNAcentral. Lineage: Bacteria; Pseudomonadati; Planctomycetota.
GUGUGGGUAGUUUAAUGGCAAAGCACCCGUCUGUGAAACGGGAAACAUGAGUUCAAUUCUCAUCUCACAUCCCU